AAAAAUAUACCUUGCAGUGAGGGCGCGGGUGCUAAGGUCCGUGUCCGAGAGGGAAAGAACCCAGACCAACAGCUAAGGUCCCAAAAUCUACACUAAGUUGAACUAAGGCGGUUCAGUUGCUUAGACAGCCAGGAUGUUUGCUUGGAAGCAGCAAUUCAUUUAAAGAGUGCGUAACAGCUCACUGGUCGAGCGACAGAGCAUCGAUAAUAAUCGGGCAUCAAGUGUAGUACCGAAGCUAUGGAUAUAUCUCGCAAGAGAUCUGUGGUAGGGGAGCAUUCUAACAUCGGAGAAGCAGGGGGGUCACCUUCUGUGGAGAGGUUAGAAAAGCAAAUGUAGGCAUAAGUAACGAUAAGGCGGGUGAGAAACCCGCCCACCGAUAGACUAAGGUUUCCGCGGCAAUGCUAAUCAACCGCGGGUAAGUCGGGUCCUAAGGCGAAGCCGAGAGGCGUAGUCGAUGGCCAACUGGUUAAUAUUCCAGUACUACCGUAAUGAGCGAAGAAGUGACGGAGGAGUGAAAGUUCCGCGCCCUGACGAACGUGGGCGUUGAAAGGCGUAGGUAUAGGCAGUGUAGGCAAAUCCGCACAGCUUGCUGAAACCCAAUAGUACACAGAGGCUUCGGCCGAAGUGAUAGAGAACGUAAGCAGACUUCCAAGAAAACCUUCUAGCGUUAAUCAUUAUGGUACCCGUACCGCAAACCGACACAGGUAGUCAAGGAGAGAAUCCUGAGGUGCUCGAGUGAAUCAUGGCUAAGGAACUCGGCAAAUUAACCCUGUAACUUCGGGAAAAGGGGUGCCCUCAGCAAUGAGGGUCGCAGAGAAAUGGCCCAGGCGACUGUUUAACAAAAACACAUGGCUAUGCGAAAUCGAAAGAUGAAGUAUAUGGCCUGACACCUGCCCGGUGCUGGAAGGUUAAGGGGGGACGUUAGUCGCAAGACAAAGCGUUGAACUGAAGCCCCAGUAAACGGCGGCCGUAACUAUAACGGUCCUAAGGUAGCGAAAUUCCUUGUCGGGUAAGUUCCGACCUGCACGAAUGGUGUAACGAUCUGGGCGCUGUCUCAGCCAUGAGCUCGGUGAAAUUGUAGUCACGGUGAAGAUGCCGUGUACCCGCAACGGGACGGAAAGACCCCAUGCACCUUUACUAUAGCUUCACAUUGACAUUGGGUAAAUGAUGUGUAGGAUAGGUGGGAGACAUUGAUCCCGGGCCGCUAGGUUCGGGGGAGUCAACGGUGAAAUACCACCCUUUAUUUUCUUGAUGUCUAACCUCUAACAAGGGACAGUGUGUGGUGGGUAGUUUGACUGGGGUGGUCGCCUCCGAAAGUGUAUCGGAGGCUUUCAAAGGUAUGCUCAGUACGCUUGGUAACCGUACGUGGAGUGCAAUAGCAUAAGCAUGCUUGACUGUGAGACCGACGGGUCGAGCAGGGACAGA
RNAcentral lists this ribosomal RNA (1425 nucleotides) under metagenome. RNAcentral's name for it is "bacterial LSU rRNA". It matches the Rfam family "Bacterial large subunit ribosomal RNA", at positions 967 to 2403 of the family's 2925-position model. The record is from RNAcentral.